GUUAAAAAUGGAUCGUUUUGUACAUUUGACAGUCAUUUUUAACAUUAUAGAGAUGUCUCUGCCAAGUGGUAAGAAAACAUUGCCAUAGUCAAGAAAAACUACUUCAAUGUUGUUUUUAUACGACCGCAAAAAUUGAUUUUUUUUUGGUCGUAUAUUGGUAUCACGUUGGCGUCGUCGUCGUCGUCCGAAGACAUUUGGUUUUCGCACUCUAACUUUAGUAAAAGUAUAUAGAAAUCUAUGGAAUUUAAACACAAGGUUUAUGACCAUAAAAGGAAGGUUGGGAUUGAUUUUGGGUGUUUUGGUUCCAACAGUUUAGGAAUUAGGGACCGAAAAGCUAGGGCACUAAUAAGCAUUUUUCUUGGUUUUCGCACAAUAACUUUAUUAUUAAGUGAACAGAAAUCUAAGAAAUUUUAACAUAAGGUCUAUGAUGACAAAAGGAAGAUUUGGAUUGAUUUUGGGAGUUUUAGUCGUAACAGUUGAGGAAUUAGGGGCCAAAAAAGGUCCCAAAUAAGCAUUUUUCUUGGUUUUUGCACAAUAACUUUAGUAUAAGUUAAUAGAAAUCUAUGCAAUUUAAACACGAGGUUUAUGACCACAAAAGGAAGGUCUGGAUUGAUUUUGGGAGUUUUGGUCCUAACGAAUUAGGGGCCAAAGGGUCCAAAAUUAAACUUUGUUUGAUUUCAUCAAAAAAUGAAUUAUUGGGGUUCUUUGAUAUGCCAAAUCUAACCGUGUAUUCAGAUUCUUAAUUGUUGGUUCUGUUUUCAAAUUGGUCUACAUUAAGUUCCAAAGGGUCCGAAAUUAAACUCAGCUUGAUUUUAACAAAAAUUGAAUUCUUGGGGUUCCUUGAUCAUGUUGAUAUGCUGAAUCUUAACAUGCACUUAGAUUUUUGAUUAUUGGCCCCAAAAUUAUUAUAUUAAGUAUUGUGCAAUAGCAAGAAAUUUUCAAUUGCACAGUAUUGCGCAAUGACAAGAAAUCUUCAAUUGCACAGUAUUGGGCAAUAGCAAGAAAUUUUCAAUUGCACAGUAUUGCGCAAUAGCAAGAAAUCGUCAAUGGCACAGUAUUGUGCAAUAGCAAGAAAUCUUAAAUUGUACAAUAUUGCGCAAUAGCAAGAAAUUUUCAAUUGCACAGUUUUGUGCAAUAGCAAGAAAUAUUCAAUUGCACAGUUUUGUCCCGUUUUCAAAUUGGUCUACAUUAAGGUCCAAAGGGUCACAAAUUAAACUUUGUUUGAUUUCAACAAUUUGUUAAGUUUAAGUUCUUAAACCAUAUUCAUUCUGUGUCCGACAGCUACGAUGUGUCAACUAUUUAAUCACAAUCCAAAUUCAGAGCUGUAUCAAGCUUUAAUGUUGUGUCCAUACUUGCCCCAACUGUUCAGGGUUCGACCUCUGCUGUCGUAUAAAGCUGCACCCUGCGGAGCAUCUGGUUGCAGUUGGUUAUAUCCAUAUAUCGGAUACUGUAAGCAUCAUAUGUCUUCUAUUUGGUGAAUGGACUGACUGUAAGGUGUACAUGCCCAACUGGCAGUUAUAAUCUGUUCUUGACCUCAUUUUCAUGGUUCAGUGGUUUGAGUUUGGUAUUUAUUCUGAUACUAUAUGGAAUAUGUCAGUCUGGCAGAUUGUGUUUGUCCUUGACCUCGUUUUUACGGUUUUAAUUAAGUUUUUGUGCUUGGUCUGUUUUUCCUAAAACUAUAAGGAAUAGGUCAACCUUAUGUGAUGUAUGGUAUGAUUUUGAGUGCAUAUCUGUUUGGCAGUUAUCACCUGACCUUGACCUAAUUUAUGCAUAUAUUGACCGCUUUGGUCUGUUUUGUUCUUCAAAAAAAAACUAUAAGCAAUUAUAGGUCAUCUAUAUAUUUGGUGUAUGAUAUGAUUGCAAGUUGCAUAUAUAUGCCAUCUGGCAUGGCUCGUCUGACUUUGACCUCUUUUCCAUAUUUCCUUCUUAAAUGAUAAUGGUUAUGACUAAGCAAUAGGUCAACUAUAUUUUAUGUAUGGAAAGAUUGUAAGGUGUAAAUGUAUUUUCAUCAUACCAUAUCUUCUUAUUUCUAUAUUUGAACUUGAAUUCAAUGAUAAGUGAAACUGUAUCCAUGGUAACUGCUUGGCUAAUGAUCCCUUUGACGGAUAUUCGCAGCGAACCAAAAGCGCCGGGAUGUGUCCAAUGCUUACAAACAAAAAUAUCAUUUGUGCGUGUAAGGCGUUUUCUGGAUUUAUUUUAAAAGAUGGAUAUAAGACACCAAUAGAGCAAUCGAACAUCAUAAAUCAAAUAAAACAGAAAAGACCAUGGUAAAAAAUAAAACAAAGAAAAUAAAUACGAAAAGAACAAUAACAAAAGACCCCACAAAAAGCUACUGAUUGACAGAGCAAAAUAACCCUUAAGCUGUUCAUUUUAUACACUCUGGCGCGUUUCUACUGCAGGUACAAGUUCUAUGACCAGUUCGAAUUUCAACUAAGAACAGGUAAACUAUUUGUUGUAAUCAUCGACACGCUUUUCAAACAUUGUCAAACAAAUCAUGCUAUGUUGGGUGUUUCAUGAUAGAACAAACAUUAGUUAUAGUAGUUAGCUCAUUUUCAUUGAUCGUUUGUAAUGUGUGUUUUUUGUCGAUCCUUUUUGUCGCAGAAAGCUCAAGAUAGGAUUAGUGAUCUGACGGCGGCGUUAGCUUACUUCUAAAAAACUUUAUAUUUUAGAAGGUGGACAACCUUGAUGCUUCAUACUUUGUAUAUGGAUGCCUCAUUUUACGACGUUUUCGUCAGUCACAUGUCCAAUGUCCUUAACCUCAUUUUCAUGGUUCAGUGAAUACUUGAAAAAAGUUAAGAUAUUUUGUAGUGUUAAAUUCUUUCUUAUUAUUAGUAAUAUGAUAACUAUAUUUAGCAUGUGUGUACCUUGUACGGUCCUCAUGCCCAUCAGACAGUUUUCGUUUGAUGACAUCGACCUCAUUUCAUGGAUAAGUGAACAAGGUUCAGUUUUGGUGGUCAAGUUCAUAUUGCAGAUACUAUAAGCAAUAGGUCUAGUAUAUCCAGUGUAUGGAAGGACUGUAAGUGUACAUGUCCAAUUGGCAGGUGUCAUCUGACCUUCACCUCAUUUUCAUGGUUCAGUGGUCAUAGAUAGGUUUUUGUGUUUUGGUCUGUUUUUCUUAUACUGUAUGCAAUAGGUCAACUAUAUUUGGUGUAUGGAAAUAUUGUAUGAUCUAUAUCCAUGUCAAUCGCACAGGUUUUAUUUGACCUUGACCUCAUUUUCAUGGUUCAUUGCUCAGUGUAAAGUUUUUUUGUGUUUUGGUCUGAUUUUCUUAAAUUAUUAGCAAAAAGUUAACUAUAUAUGUUGUAUGGAAGAAUUAUUAGCUGUACAUGCCUGCCUGGUAUUGUUCAUACAUGUAUGACCUUGACAUCAUUUUCAUGGUUCAUUGGUCAAUGUUUAGUUUUCUUGGUUAAUGUUAAGUGUAUGUGACAGUUGUAAUAAAGCUUUAUAUUUAGACUAUCAACAUAAUAUCAAUGAUUAGUAAAGAAGGCGAGACAUUUCAGCUCUUUUUUUUCCGACGGAUGUAUUAGUUUGAGAUUAUGUCAGUUUAUUGGGAACCACAAUUAGUAGAUCAAUGAUAUUUGGUAUGUAGUUGUGUAAGCAUCGGCAAAUCUCAUUUCCAUGGAGAUAAUUUGGCUCCGCCUCCUUAGUCAUGGUCUAUUGACUUCGAAAUUUUUCUGAGUUAUCGUAUUAGUUUGUGAUUAGGUCAAUUCAAGGGGAACCAUUAUCGGUAGGUCAAUGUUGAUUGGUAUUCAGUUGUAUAAGCAUUUGCUCAUCUCAUUUCCAUCAAUAUUUGGCCUCACCCCACAGUCUAAUGACUUUGAAACUUAUCUUAGUUUACAUGUAUUAGUUUGUGAUUAGAUCAGUCGAAGAUGAACUGCCAAUGUACAGUCAAUAUGCUAUUUGGUAUUGGCAUUUGCAAGUAUUGUUUCCAUGGAGAUAAUUUAGCCCACCCCCCUCUUAUUGACUUUGAAACUUUUCUAUAAUAGUUUACUAGUUAAUGUUUGUAUUUAGAUUUGGGAACAACUUAUGAUAAGUCAAUGGUCAUGAUGGUUUUUAGUAUGCAGUUGUAUAAGCAUUAGCACAUCUCAUUUACAUUGAGAUUGUUUAGCCAUGUAACCUAGUCAUGGUUCAUUGGCUUUGAAUAUUUUCAUAACUUGUGUAAGAUGUUAAAGUAUUGCCAUUUUCAUGAUUUGAUUUCAACAUUUGCAUAAUCAAAUUACACAAAGGCGAGACAUAAUCUCUGUGAUAACAGUUUAUUCGCAAUUAGAUCCAUUUGUUUCAGAUACUGUACUCGAUAUGCUUACUACAUUUGAUUUAUGGAACUUAAGAUUCCUCGAUAUCUCAGCUUGAAUACUUGAAGUAUAAUAAAUGUACAUAAUCUAUACCGUUUAUUGGUCGUUUUUUUUUUGCAGCAAACAUUUCAGUAUGAUAGUAACCAUAACAUGCCUAUGCGAACAUUUAAAAUUUUACUGUUCGAUGAAAUGCAGUGUACAGGGCAAUAAAACGCAAGAAGGAAAACAGCAACGAUUUAACCAUCCACUUUUGGUCGAUAACCGCGAACAAUAUAGCCGACACAAAAAUAUUAGUAUGUUCAUUUAUCUUUGGCGCCGCAAUGGUAACAGUAUACUAGUAUUCGGAAUUUCAUUUCAUUCACUGGAUUGUUUUUUCAUUUCAGCUAUUCACUGGACAAUGAAACAACCCAUGAUUGAACUUGGUAAGCCCCUACUUUUGAAUUGUGAAAUAUCAAAUACUAUUCCACAAGAUCAAAGUAGACAAUGGACAACAGGAAUUGAAAAUCGACUUUUGUGUUUUGAUAACGUUACAAUUAACAGUAAAAAGUAUACAGGAAGGCUCAAUUCUCCAACUGAAUAUUCAUUAACAAUCUUAAAUACAACAGAAGACGACUUAGUACAUCUGUACUCGUGUAGAGCUGGCUUUGUGUUCCAGCAAAAAAGAUUAGAAGUAAAUGACACAAAUUUAAUACGUAA
RNAcentral lists this long non-coding RNA (4988 nucleotides) under Mytilus galloprovincialis (Mediterranean mussel). The record is from RNAcentral. Lineage: Eukaryota; Metazoa; Mollusca; Bivalvia; Mytilida; Mytilidae.